GACGAACGCUGGCGGCGUGCCUAAUACAUGCAAGUCGAACGCUUCUUUCCUCCCGAGUGCUUGCACUCAAUUGGAAAGAGGAGUGGCGGACGGGUGAGUAACACGUGGGUAACCUACCCAUCAGAGGGGGAUAACACUUGGAAACAGGUGCUAAUACCGCAUAACAGUUUAUGCCGCAUGGCAUAAGAGUGAAAGGCGCUUUCGGGUGUCGCUGAUGGAUGGACCCGCGGUGCAUUAGCUAGUUGGUGAGGUAACGGCUCACCAAGGCCACGAUGCAUAGCCGACCUGAGAGGGUGAUCGGCCACACUGGGACUGAGACACGGCCCAGACUCCUACGGGAGGCAGCAGUAGGGAAUCUUCGGCAAUGGACGAAAGUCUGACCGAGCAACGCCGCGUGAGUGAAGAAGGUUCUCGGAUCGUAAAACUCUGUUGUUAGAGAAGAACAAGGACGUUAGUAACUGAACGUCCCCUGACGGUAUCUAACCAGAAAGCCACGGCUAACUACGUG
RNAcentral lists this ribosomal RNA (508 nucleotides) under uncultured bacterium. RNAcentral's name for it is "partial 16S ribosomal RNA". It matches the Rfam family "Bacterial small subunit ribosomal RNA", at positions 28 to 507 of the family's 1533-position model. The record is from RNAcentral.